This 326-nucleotide ribosomal RNA is filed under the name uncultured eukaryote. RNAcentral's name for it is "partial 18S ribosomal RNA". It matches the Rfam family "Eukaryotic small subunit ribosomal RNA", at positions 1470 to 1796 of the family's 1831-position model. The record is from RNAcentral.
CCCUUAGAUGUUCUGGGCCGCACGCGCGCUACACUGACGAAUGCAACGAGCUUAUAACCUUGGCCGAAAGGUCUGGGUAAUCUCCAAAUUUCGUCGUGAUGGGGAUAGAUUAUUGCAAUUAUUAAUCUUCAACGAGGAAUGCCUAGUAAGCGCAAGUCAUCAGCUUGCGUUGAUUACGUCCCUGCCCUUUGUACACACCGCCCGUCGCUCCUACCGAUUGAGUGGUCCGGUGAGGCUUUGGGAUCUGAGCGGAAAGAGCGUUUCGCUGUUUCUGCUCGGAAAACUCAGUCGAACCUUAUCAUUUAGAGGAAGGAGAAGUCGUAACA